UGCCAGCAGCCGCGGUAAUACGAAGGGAGCAAGCGUUGUUCGGAAUUACUGGGCGUAAAGGGCGUGUAGGCGGAUUGAUUAGUUAGAAGUGAAAGCCCAGGGCUCAACCCUGGAAUUGCUUUUAAUACUGUCAAUCUUGAGUAUCGGAGAGGUGAGUAGAAUUUCCAGUGUAGAGGUGAUAUUCGUAGAUAUUGGAAGGAAUACCAGUGGCGAAGGCGACUCACUGGCCGAUUACUGACGCUGAGGCGCGAAAGCGUGGGGAGCAAACAGGAUUAGAUA
Molecule: ribosomal RNA, 279 nt
Filed under: uncultured bacterium
Lineage: Bacteria
Description: partial 16S ribosomal RNA
Rfam family: Bacterial small subunit ribosomal RNA
Source: RNAcentral